Molecule: long non-coding RNA, 307 nt
Organism: Neopelma chrysocephalum (saffron-crested tyrant-manakin)
Lineage: Eukaryota; Metazoa; Chordata; Aves; Passeriformes; Pipridae
Exons: 3
Source: RefSeq, a predicted model, not a curated record
UCUCCUACCUUUAACUUCUAAUUAUCUCUGAUACUGCUAACUGGUUUCUUUUUUACCGGCAGAGUCUUCUGGCUCCUUAAAGCGUCAUUGGCACAUGUGAAAGAGAGCCAUGUGGAACAUUUUUGGGGAACAUAGUGUAGAUCCAGACUGUCUUCAGCUGCAAAUAAGCAACCAUUUGCAGGCACACUUUGUUUAUUUCUGAGAUAAAAGUCUUCCAGUGGGAUUUUCUUCUUGCUCAAGCAUCACAGGUUAGAUAAAUGCUAGAUGCAAAUGAAGAUUUCAGAAGAAAAGCCAUUUUAGAGACGUG